UACGUAGGUGGCAAGCGUUGUCCGGAUUUACUGGGCGUAAAGAGCGCGCAGGCGGUCGUUCAAGUCGCGUGUGAAAGCCCCCGGCUCAACUGGGGAGGGUCACGCGAUACUGAUUGACUGGAAGGCAGGAGAGGGUAGUGGAAUUCCCGGUGUAGUGGUGAAAUGCGUAGAUAUCGGGAGGAACACCAGUGGCGAAGGCGACUACCUGGCCUGUUCUUGACGCUGAGGCGCGAAAGCUAGGGGAGCAAACGGG
Molecule: ribosomal RNA, 253 nt
Filed under: uncultured bacterium
Lineage: Bacteria
Description: partial 16S ribosomal RNA
Rfam family: Bacterial small subunit ribosomal RNA
Source: RNAcentral